Long non-coding RNA from Vespula vulgaris, 4061 nucleotides. RefSeq lists it as uncharacterized. The record is from RefSeq and is a predicted model, not a curated record. NCBI's taxonomy places the organism in Eukaryota, Metazoa, Arthropoda, Insecta, Hymenoptera, Vespidae. The transcript has 3 exons.
GAUCGAUGUAGACCGAGUAAAAAGAAAAAGGGAAGGAGAGGGGAGAAAGAGAGUAAGUAAGUGUGUGAGAGAAAGAGAGAAAGAGAGAGGGAAGGGUUGAUGAGUGCAACCGGUGUCUUCCUCCCCACCUUCCGCUUUGGACAGACGGCAAAACGACCUCGCGGCUUUCCGUUACCUAAAUCGUUCUGUCAGUUUAGCACGAUAUCUGGCUGAAGACUGACGUUUCUGUGACACGUAUUUCGCGAGAAACUAAACAGUAAUAACAUCGAAAUCGAAAAAGAAGGAUGCACCGAGUCACGACAUUUCUGGUUUUUCUUUCGAUUUUCCUUCGGUUUUUUAAAUUAAGCGUUCCGUUCCCGUCCGAAGUAACCCAUAAUUCGUUUAUCAAGUUUCUGUACUCUCUGCUUCGCUCCGCCCCCAGAGAAAAUUCUAUUCAUUAUUCCUGUACAAAUAUAAUAUUUCGAUCGGUUCUCGUUAAUAACGUACUAAACGAGACUUCUGUCAGGAACAAACGUUGAACAAUUUUCGCAGUAAAUUCUUUGUGCAAUUUGAUUUGUUUACAUAAUGGCAUUUAUAAAUCGGUAAAAGAAACAAAUACAGAAUGAUAUAAUUUCUAAAACGUACUUACUCAGAAAGCGCAUCGUUUUUCGGUGUCUUCUUAAUUUCUUCGAAAUUCGCCGAAUUUUCUUCAUAAUACGUAGAAAUGAUCGAACACGAAAGGAUCGUUCGUUAAUAUAUAAAAUGUACUUAGUAAAUGUAGAAACUGUGUGAGAGGAUAAUCAAAAGGUAACGCGAAGGAAGGUCAUGAUAACAAAGAGAAAGAGAGAGAAAGAGAAAAAGAGAUAGAGGAAACUCGAGCAAAAGCUCAGAAACAGAGAAAGAGAAAGAGAAAGAGAAAGAGAGAGAGAGCGAUGAAGAGAAAGUGAAAAUGAAACGAGUGGGGAGAGCAGAGAGUGGGAGGGCGGGUUAUUAAGAGCACGGAGAAGGUCGAGCAUGGUGGGGUGGUAGUGACGUAAUUAAUUCAAAACGAAGACACGAUGCAGCGCCACGGAAUGGAAACAAUCAGCUGUUGACUCUCCUCGGAGGUAUUUGGCGCGCUCGCUUUUACCCUUGUAACGAGAAACACUGUCUUACAUAAUUAUUCUCUUAUUUUUAUCGAAGAAAUUUUCAAAGUUAUCUUACGUGAAAUUUCUUAUUAAACUUCGGACGAUCUAAUUUCUUAAAAAAUGAAACAUGUGAAUAAUGGACGAAAAUAGAAAUUAAAAAAAAUAAUUAUAAUCUUUUAAUUUGCCACUAGUCGACACACGCACGUAAAAAAAAACAGAGAGAGAGAGAGAGAGAGAGAGAGAGAGAAAGAGAGAGAGAGAAAACAGAAAAAAAGAAAAAUAAAAGCUGUGACAUCUUUAUGAAAAUUAUUUUAUCAAAUUGCUUCUUUUUCACGACUUUACGAAAGACAUCACGAGGCUAAUAAGAGUCAACGUUGCGCGAAAGUUCAUUCUCUUGAAACUUUGUCUUCCCGAAAAAAGAUUGGGGAAAGAACGUUGGUGCCAGGACGAGGGCGUAGGAAGGACUGAGAGAGGAUCCAGAAACGAAUCCUGCCAUCUCGAAGGACCGUCCAACGAGAACUGUACCGUCGAACGUCGCGACGCCGGCGUCUGCGUCCCAUCUGCCUAUAUAUAUAUCUAUAUAUAUAUAUAUAUAUAUAUAUAUAUAUAUAUAUAGAUCUGUAUAUAUCUGUAUAUAUAUAUAUAUAUAUAUAUAUAUAUAUAUAUAUAUAUAUGUACACAUAUUGUAUAUGUAGGUAUAUGUAUCUACGCGCUUACAUAUAUACACAAGCUUGUUUAAUAUGUUAUCCGUGUAUGUGUGAAUAUCCUCCGCUAGAUUCAAUCCGUCUUCGGUUAGACAGUAUAUUUCGCCGAAUACUUUCAAUUCUUCCACGUCUCGUAGUUGGACUAUAUUUCACUCCUUUAUCAUACACGCGCGAGUCUGCCGGAAUUCAAAACGUACGUACAUUAUAUGAGUAAUACGUAAUUCUUAACAAAGAAACACGUAGAAAAAUAUUUCUUCGAUCGAUAAAAUAUAAUUCGAUAAAAAAAAAAAAACCAAACGAAGAAGUUCAAUGCAUUUGUCGGAUAAGUUUUCGGAAAUAAUUUUAUUUUAAAUUAUCUGAUAUCUAUAUAACUAAUAUAUAUAUACGCUUUUACAUGAAAGAUGGAAUAGAUGAUUUAAUGAAUGAAUUAUUAUUACCUGAGAUAAAUGAAAAGAUAAAAGAACAAAAAAGAAACGUCGACGAAAGGAAGUUUCGAAUUUGUAUUUUCCCGAGUUUCUCAUCAAUACUUUUUCUGAGAAUCGUGUCCUGCGCGCAGAAACUCACCCUUUCCCAACCCCGCGUAAAACGAGACGCCCUCGAGGCAACUCCUGCCUUGGCUGGGUGGCACGCAGGCGUCAACAUGGCCGCGACACGUCGACUCCAUCCGCCUAAACGAGUCUCUCCUUCGUUUAACUCCUAUCAGUAAUUAAUAAAACGCCACCAAGUGCUGCUUGUUCGGGGAUGUCGCGUAAAAGUAAAAACUCGACGAGGGAAAAUUAUUUUUUGUGACGUGUUAAUCUAAUAUAUCGAUUCGAGAGGAAACCUUUAGUGUAUCCUUUAGAACAAUGCGAUUAACGUCGGCGCAAUCGACGUCACCGUGAAGUGUUUCUUAAAGGAAAGAAAUUGGGGUUAAUUAACAACGAACGAGCUCAUCGCUUACGCGAACCUUAAAAGGUCCAUUCUCAAAAAAUUUCUCGUAGAACUUCGUGAACGCUAGCUACGUCUUUCGAAUUUCCUUUCAAGGCCGACAAAUUAACGUGAGUCGAUCGAUAAAAUAAUAAUGUCGGUAAGAAACAUGCUUUUCGCCUUAUUUAUGUUCGAAACGAAUUACUUCAUAUAAUCUAAAUUCGAUUAGCGCAAUACGUUCUAAAAGAAUUAUUAUAAAUUAUCGAUAUAAUAAAUGUUUAAAUACUUUACUUAUAUCUAUGAAUCCAUCGAAGAUACUCCAUGUUUCUCUCUUCGAGUCCAAAGCAAUACUGUAUGAUUUUACGAAGAAAGAGACAGAGAGAGAGAGAGAGAGAGAAACAAUACAACAUAAAUAGAGGAUAAUACAAGAGCGUCCUUUUAGAACCUUCAGAUCUGUUUUCUUUGUUUGCGUUAUAUAACUCGUACUCUUACCUUUACAAUAGCGAAAGAGAAGAAGAGAGAGAGAGAGACAGAAAGAGAGACAAAGACAAAGAAAGAGAGAGAAAGAGAAAGAGAAGAGAAAAAAGCACAGAAAACGACACAUCUUGAACGGUAGUUCAUUAAAGUGGAGGGACGACUCGACUUAACCCCUCGUCGAUGAAACUGAGUCACAUCGUGCAGCCGGCUGGCCGUAUAUGCAAAUCACUCGCGUGGGGUAUUCCCCUUCUUUCCCUCUUCCUUCUUCCCUUUCUCUUCGCUAACAUAGAGUAGAAAGAAAAAAAAGAAGUUUCGAUGGUGGGGAUGAACGAGGAAGCUCAUUAGUUUUUUUCUAUCGCGAUAGGGGUAUUCCGUUCGUAAACGGCGGCCAUCGUAACUCCCCUCACAGUUACUACUACCACCACCAUCAGCUUCACCACCACCAUUGACCACCAAACUGCUCUUGAAUUGUUUAUGUGAGAGCACGCUUUAUGCUACGAUAGGCGGCGGGUUCAUAUUGGUGACCCAGAAACACGACGUACUUUUAUUACGAAUUAUCAAGCGUACCUCUGGUCGUGUUAUAUUUUUUUUUUUCUUUUCGUUUUUUUCUUUUUUUUUUAUGAACGAUAAAGCAAAGAACAGCGAACUCCGUUAAAUUAUUUUUUACAUUACACACUCACACACACAUAUAUAAUAUAUAAACUUGUUCUUUUUUUAUUAAUAGUAAUAUUACUAUUAAUUAUUUAUACAUUAUAUAUUAUCUAGUAAUAUCUAUUAAUUAUUUAUUAUAGAUAAUAAUGAUCGUAUAGAUAUCGUUCCUUUUUUCAAAGUAACAAAUCACAAUAAAUUAAUUCGAUAAUUUCGCUUU